CCGUAAUUUAUUUAUGACAACGUGCAGCUUCUCUCGACGAUGUCCAACGUAUAAAGAAAUAUGACAAACCCGAAGAUUCUUCGAGUGCGGAUAUUUUGUCUUGACUAUGAGAUUAUACUCUGCAUGUAUUCGCAAUCUCUCUCUCGCGAGUCGCUAUAUACGCGCCACGACGAGGGAUUACGAACGCUACCGCCUAAUUUGAGAUGCACCUGUUACUCAAGUCUGCGCGCGGCUUAAGUGGAAUCGGAAACCAGAUGCGCGCCAGAUAGAUCGAUGAAGGAGGAAGGAGAAGGAUAAUCCGAAAGGGGAAAGGAGAAAAUACUCGUGUAACUCGUCGGCGGACUUCCAGGCAGACUGCAUAUGGUGAGGUGAGGCGAGACGUAUUGACACACGCUCACAUGAGAGAUCCUGGGGUUGACUCCGCAGCGCGUAGAGAUGAGAAAAAAAGAGAGAGAGAGAGAGAGAGAGAGCAGAGGAGGGAAGAAGGAAGAGCGCCAUAAGACACCUCCAUAGACGAGGUCGCCGUUCACGGAGUCAGGCUUACUGCAGAGGGAUGGGAAUCGUCCGUGAGAGAGCGGCGCUACAUGCCGCGGGAGGGUGAGGUGAACGUUGGUGGCUGGAUGACGGUGGUUGGAAACCGGCUGCUGCCUUAUCUCCGCGUACCGAGAUUGACUUCCUUUCUAUCCAUUCAGCCGCUCAAAUGAGUUCCUUUGAUAACUGUUGUGUGAUCGAGUGCACUGAAUACUGAAGGGUCCGUAGCCCAGCGGCGAAUAUUUCGCUGUCUGACGGCGCCGCGUCGCGGAAAGAAAAUUUCGGUCCAAACUGGUGCGCGACGUGCCCGUAUCCUUGAAGUUUUUCUUAUCUCAAAAAUUAAUAAAUGAAUAUAUGACGAUCGAUUACCAUUAGUUUGUGUAAACUUUGAGAACUCGUUAGAAAAUAUGGCGUUUUUAAAUAAUCUUGCCGAUGCAUAUUUCUCGAUAAAUCGGAAAGUUAUUAUUUUUUAGCUGCGUGUUAAGAUCAAUCCACUUAACAAUCUCGCACGCGAGCAAACGAACAACUUUGAACGUGCAUAAUUCGCAUACGAGCACACGUUGAUGCGGGAUUAGAUUCUUUCCGUCGACGGUACCCAAACGCGUCGCAACGUCUCCGUACGGAAGAUUGCACCCUUUCCAGUCCUUAGAAGCUCUUAAUUAAUGGCACCGGCACACCGACAUGGGGCCCUCCAACGCGCGGGGAGGGUAAGGAGAGUUUAUGCUGCAGACCUGUAAUCUCAUGAUGCCGUAAGUUAUUCUAAAUGCACUAGUGGGACCUACGAGAUAUCCUCUCGGUGUUCUCUGGGAGUUACAUGAACGCGAGGACAUGGCAUUGCAAAAAUUCCAGAAAAGUUAUAGCCUAAGGAUAGUGCUCGACGUAAGUAACGAAGGAAGGACGAGGGUUGAUAAUUGUCGGGACACUCCGGAUUUGCCCCUGGCCCCACGAGAGACCAUAGAUUACAAAGUCUGCCUCUUCCGUCUCCUCUAUGCGAGCCUUCUUCCUGUUCUCGCUGAUGAUAUCGGCCUUUCGAGAGCCUACGGGAUAAGCCUAAGAACGCCAAGGAUAAUUAACGUGCCGCCGUAUGACUCACGCGAGCGACUGUAAUACAUGUAAAUUUCAAGCAAGGGUUAAGCGCAAGAAUGCCCUUUUUCAAGCGAUAACUUGCGCCACACGCCAUUCUCCUCAAGAACUCGUUACUAUUAUUAUAACAUUCUUGUAUAAAGAGGCUGAAAGGGAUGAUAAGGGAGAAUUAUUAACACGGAAGAAUGUAGAUAAUAAAUGUUUGAUUUAUAUUGCCCGUACAGGCUAAUUGAAAAACGUACAUACUUUUUAAAAAUAAAUGUGCAAAUCAAGCACAUAU
Long non-coding RNA from Temnothorax curvispinosus, 1894 nucleotides. RefSeq lists it as uncharacterized. The record is from RefSeq and is a predicted model, not a curated record. The transcript has 4 exons. NCBI's taxonomy places the organism in Eukaryota, Metazoa, Arthropoda, Insecta, Hymenoptera, Formicidae.